Molecule: ribosomal RNA, 1032 nt
Filed under: Clavibacter michiganensis
Lineage: Bacteria; Bacillati; Actinomycetota; Actinomycetes; Micrococcales; Microbacteriaceae
Description: bacterial SSU rRNA
Rfam family: Bacterial small subunit ribosomal RNA
Source: RNAcentral
UUACCAUGCAGUCGAACGGUGAUGUCAGAGCUUGCUCUGGCGGAUCAGUGGCGAACGGGUGAGUAACACGUGAGUAACCUGCCCCCGACUCUGGGAUAACUGCUAGAAAUGGUAGCUAAUACCGGAUAUGACGACUGGCCGCAUGGUCUGGUCGUGGAAAGAAUUUCGGUUGGGGAUGGACUCGCGGCCUAUCAGGUUGUUGGUGAGGUAAUGGCUCACCAAGCCUACGACGGGUAGCCGGCCUGAGAGGGUGACCGGCCACACUGGGACUGAGACACGGCCCAGACUCCUACGGGAGGCAGCAGUGGGGAAUAUUGCACAAUGGGCGCAAGCCUGAUGCAGCAACGCCGCGUGAGGGAUGACGGCCUUCGGGUUGUAAACCUCUUUUAGUAGGGAAGAAGCGAAAGUGACGGUACCUGCAGAAAAAGCACCGGCUAACUACGUGCCAGCAGCCGCGGUAAUACGUAGGGUGCAAGCGUUGUCCGGAAUUAUUGGGCGUAAAGAGCUCGUAGGCGGUUUGUCGCGUCUGCUGUGAAAUCCCGAGGCUCAACCUCGGGUCUGCAGUGGGUACGGGCAGACUAGAGUGCGGUAGGGGAGAUUGGAAUUCCUGGUGUAGCGGUGGAAUGCGCAGAUAUCAGGAGGAACACCGAUGGCGAAGGCAGAUCUCUGGGCCGUAACUGACGCUGAGGAGCGAAAGCAUGGGGAGCGAACAGGAUUAGAUACCCUGGUAGUCCAUGCCGUAAACGUUGGGAACUAGAUGUGGGGACCAUUCCACGGUCUCCGUGUCGCAGCUAACGCAUUAAGUUCCCCGCCUGGGGAGUACGGCCGCAAGGCUAAAACUCAAAGGAAUUGACGGGGGCCCGCACAAGCGGCGGAGCAUGCGGAUUAAUUCGAUGCAACGCGAAGAACCUUACCAAGGCUUGACAUAUACCGGAAACGUGCAGAGAUGUGCGCCCCGCAAGGUCGGUAUACAGGUGGUGCAUGGUUGUCGUCAGCUCGUGUCGUGAGAUGUUGGGUUAAGUCCCGCAACGA